UUUUUUUUUUUUAAUUUUUACUUUUUCCUUUUUUUUUUUAAGCCACAUCUUUCAGGUACCUAUGCCUUUAAAACUUGUGAAUGUAACUUGCUAUUCUUUUUAACAGUAUUUCUUCAAGUUGCCAAUAACAAAGUCUAACUCAUUCACUCUGUGUUGUUACUACUUUGAAGAGAUUAAUGAACUUUAGCACUGAAAUACAAAAAUAGUUAAACCUACUUUGAGCUAAGCUGGUAAGCUCUUUGAGGCAUGAACACUAUUUGUAUCAUGUAUAGAAAGGCUGGUUUUGGCUUCACGCUCCUGUAAGACAGGCUGCCAGCAGUAUGCAAAAUGAGAGAAUCAGAACUAAACUUCCCAUUUGUGCAUCCAGGAGUCUGUGAUAGCAUUAUAAAAAUAUUCACUAUAGCAAAUGAUAAAUCUGUGCCUUUCAACAAAUAACCUUUCAUGUCUGCAUACUUCUCCACAGUGCAUUAUUGUUAAAGUGCCCCAAAGCAAGCUGGUUUAAAGGCCUUUAGUGGGUAGUGGUUGUUGUAGGUAUGCCUCUAUGGUGCAUAUUGGGCAAAUGAGUUCUUGCUUCCCUUGUACUUUGGCUAUGUUAAUGCGCCACUAAGCUGGUGCUGACAGAUUCCACUUGUUACUGUGUAUGUGGCACAGCAGGAGCACAGUCACGUGGCUUUUUACCAUUUCAGAGCGUGGGCAGAGAGAAAGGGGGUCAUCUUGGACUGCGACGUGUAGACAUGCUGGUGUGUCUCAAUGCAUUGCUUCUGCAUCAGAGGAGGUCUCCUGGAGGAAAACAUCCUAACAGCAGUUUUUGGUCUUGCUCCUGCUUAGUGCCACAAUUGACAAAGCAUGAAGCUGGUCAGCUGAGGAGGGAUUCCCCACUAAUACAAAAACAAAAUAAGGAGAAUUAAACUGAGAAUUAAAAAAUUGAUUUGCUGAUAUUGAGAUAGCUCUGGAGCAGUAUUCCUCCCUCUAAAGCAUGAGAUAAAUACGAAGUAUAUAAGGAGUGUCAUAGCAGAGCUAAGGACUUCUUUUCCUUGUAGAUUAGACAGCAUCAUCUCCAUCAAUAGAGUAUGUUUAGGACUUGUGUCUGGUUUUAGAAAGCUUCCAUUACAAUCUUCUGAGUUCGUACCUCUGGGAUUGCACAGAGACAGUGGUGACCUUGUCUAUUCUGUCACUUGCAACACAUGUCUUUCACAGCACACCAAGAAUGAGAUUUUUGGCAAGUUGAAUCAUAAUACAAAGCAAUAUCCAGCUACUCCAGAAGAGAUGGACUUUUUACACCUGCAUCUCUUCUUGAUGUUCUUAGUGAGCUAAAGCAGAAGAACAGUAACCCUGUAUUUUUCCUGAUUAGUUUCCUUAAGAAGAUGAGAGUUGAACAUACAAUGCAGUGUGCUUGAGCAUGUAGUACCUGGGACAAACAGGAUCAUUGCACUGAAAUGGCUGAAAAUACUCCAUAUCUUUUUUUCGUCGUUGUUGUUGUUGUUCACACAGUUCUCUGGUUGCAUC
Molecule: long non-coding RNA, 1506 nt
Filed under: Strigops habroptila (Kakapo)
Lineage: Eukaryota; Metazoa; Chordata; Aves; Psittaciformes; Psittacidae
Description: lncRNA (ENSSHBG00005001446.1)
Source: RNAcentral